RNAcentral lists this long non-coding RNA (329 nucleotides) under Gossypium barbadense (sea-island cotton). Its description in RNAcentral is "long non-coding RNA (GBAR_LNC015316)". The record is from RNAcentral. Lineage: Eukaryota; Viridiplantae; Streptophyta; Magnoliopsida; Malvales; Malvaceae.
UUAAAAUCACCUAUUUAGUGUCCAUAUAAGUCCACUAAUAAUAAAAAUGGUUUAAUUAUCAUUUAAAUCCCUUAAAAAUUUAAUUUCAUAGCUAAUAGAUACAUUUAACUAAUAGAACUCUACUUUUGCACCAUUUACGAUUUAGACCUUUUCACUUAAUUAAGCAUGCAAGCGUCAAAAUUUCUUAACGACAUUUUUAUACUACACUACCAACAUACCGUAGAUGUUAAAAUAAUAAUAAAAUAAAUAUUUUUUUAUAUUUGAGAUCCCAAAAUUACUGUUUCGGUUUCACUUAAAAUGGGUCGUUACAUACUACAUUAGUGGAGAGG